GAUGAACGCUAGCGGGAGGCCUAACACAUGCAAGCCGAGGGAGAAUUACUUUUCGGAGUAAGGACACCGGCGAACGGGUGAGUAACGCGUAUGCAACUUGCCCUUAUCUGGGGGAUAACCCGGGGAAACUCGGACUAAUAUCCCAUAAUAAUAUGAAUAGCAUUAUUUAUAUUUAAAAGAUUUAUCGGAUAAGGAUAGGCAUGCGUAGGAUUAGUUAGUUGGUGAGGUAACGGCUCACCAAGACGAUGAUCCUUAGGGGGCCUGAGAGGGUGAUCCCCCACACUGGUACUGAGACACGGACCAGACUCCUACGGGAGGCAGCAGUGAGGAAUAUUGGACAAUGGGUGAGAGCCUGAUCCAGCCAUCCCGCGUGCAGGAAGACGGCCCUAUGGGUUGUAAACUGCUUUUAUACAGGAAUAAACCUACUUACGUGUGAGUAGUUGAAGGUACUGUAAGAAUAAGCAUCGGCUAACUCCGUGCCAGCCGCCGCCGUAACAC
This 498-nucleotide ribosomal RNA is filed under the name uncultured bacterium. Its description in RNAcentral is "bacterial SSU rRNA". It matches the Rfam family "Bacterial small subunit ribosomal RNA", at positions 28 to 526 of the family's 1533-position model. The record is from RNAcentral.